RNAcentral lists this ribosomal RNA (797 nucleotides) under uncultured bacterium. RNAcentral describes it as "bacterial SSU rRNA". It matches the Rfam family "Bacterial small subunit ribosomal RNA", at positions 8 to 796 of the family's 1533-position model. The record is from RNAcentral.
AGAGUUUGAUCCUGGCUCAGAUUGAACGUUGGCGGCAGGCCUAAAACAUGCAAGUCGAACGGUAACAGCGAGAGCUUGCUCUCGGCUGACGAGUGGCGGACGGGUGAGUAACACGUAGGAAUCUACCUAGCAGUGGGGGACAACCCGGGGAAACCCGGGCUAAUACCGCAUACGCUCUACGGAGGAAAGCGGGGGAUCUUCGGACCUCGCGCUGCUAGAGGAGCCUGCGUCGGAUUAGCUAGUUGGUGGGGUAAAGGCCUACCAAGGCGACGAUCCGUAGCUGGUCUGAGAGGACGAUCAGCCACACUGGAACUGAGACACGGUCCAGACUCCUACGGGAGGCAGCAGUUAGGAAUCUUGGGCAAUGGGCGCAAGCCUGACCCAGCCAUGCCGCGUGUGUGAAGAAGGCCUUCGGGUUGUAAAGCACUUUCAGCGGUGAAGAAAAGCUCAGGGCCAAUACCCCUAGAGUCUUGACGUUAACCACAGAAGAAGCACCGGCUAACUCCGUGCCAGCAGCCGCGGUAAUACGGAGGGUGCGAACGUUAAUCGGAAUCACUGGGCGUAAAGCGCGCGUAGGCGGUCUGUUAAGUGGGAUGUGAAAUCCCCGGGCUUAACCUGGGAAUUGCAUUCCAAACUGGCGGACUAGAGUGCGGCAGAGGGAGGUAGAAUUUCCUGUGUAGCGGUGAAAUGCGUAGAUAUAGGAAGGAAUACCAGUGGCGAAGGCGGCCUCCUGGAUCGACACUGACGCUGAGGCGCGAAAGCGUGGGGAGCAACAGGAUUAGAUACCCUAGUAGUCC